CACAGUCCUGCAGGUGGCUUUAUUCCUAAAGUGCUGGGCUGUGCUGCUGUUGAACCCUCCUGCUCCUCCUUGCUCCCAAGACCUACUUCUGGACUUAAGUGCUGCAUCAGGAGUAAUCACCUGACUAAAACACUUGUUGAAAAGAGGAAAAUCACCUUAAAAGGCUGGAGCAGGAAAGGUCUGAAUUCUGUGUUUUUUCCUCCAUCCUCAGCUGUUCACCAUCAUCCUGCCAGGUUCUAAUUCUUUCUGGACAUCCAUCCUCUCAGAAUACUAGAGUGAGCACAACAUCUGUGAGUGGUUGCAGUUUUGCUGUGACCAGUACAAACUAGAUGCCAAAUGCAUUUCCUUUUCCCACUGUAAUAUCAAUGGCUUGCAAUUAUGCAAGAUGACCCAGCAAUAUUUUGUGGAUGUUGCAGGCCUUUGUGGAGAAUACUUGUAUUUCAUCUUACAGAAUAGCAGGAUAUAUGGUUAGUGAUCCAGAAAUCAAACUCAAAACAUGAAGCAUUGCAUUUUUGUGUGAGUUUAACAAAAAAUGUGUAAUGCACAUCCCUGAGCAUUGAAAAAGACGAAAUACAGAGGCCACUUAGAUACUACACGAGGAGUAUGCAGAAACAGGGCAGGCAGACAGCAAUCUCACUGCAAGUUUUGGCCUCAAAAUCACACACAGUCCAGGCUCAUCUUUGUGAACCAGCCAGAUCUCCAAAUGGACACAAACUCUGCUCUUUCCUUUGGUUUUCUACUCAAAGUGGCCAACCUGAAUGCUCCAAGGAAGGUUUGAAUUCUGACAGGACAUAGAAAGACAAAACACAUUAUUCCUGUAACUCGAACUAGUGAAGAUUGGUCUGCUUCUGAAAGAAUA
Prinia subflava (tawny-flanked prinia) is the source of this 859-nucleotide long non-coding RNA. RefSeq lists it as uncharacterized. The record is from RefSeq and is a predicted model, not a curated record. The transcript has 3 exons. NCBI's taxonomy places the organism in Eukaryota, Metazoa, Chordata, Aves, Passeriformes, Cisticolidae.